AAAAAAAGGCCAAAUUUCAGUAGCUCUCGGCCCCGCACUUUCGGGGUAAAAAAAAAAAAACCCCAAAACACAUCAGCUUUCUCUCUCACUAUCAUUCGAAGAAGCAUCGUCACAAUCAUUUGAAAUUCUAUAAUCUCAGUUUCAAUGAAGACGAAGAGGCUUGGUUUAAAUAUCGGCUUUCAUCAUGCAUUUUCAGGUUUAAUUUCAGUUAAUCUGACCAAAUUUGAUGGAUUUGUUCCCUAAUUUCAUGAAUGUCAGCUAUCACUUUCAUUCGAUCGAAGAAGCUUUCACUUUCGUUUGAAAUUUUUUAUCUCGAUCGGUUUCACUGCAAAGGAAGAGGUUUGGUUUUAAUCUCGCUUUUAUUCAAGAAUUUCAUGUUUGUAUGUGUUUAAUCGCACCAAAGUUGAUGUGUUUCUCCUCUAAUUUAUGGUUAGGGAUCUAAUUUAUGCCUCUUGAUGUAAAAAAUUUAGAUUUGGGCUUUGAUUAUUUGAUUAAUAAUUUUGUAGCGUUUGGAUACUGUUGAACAGAGUGAAUUAAUCCACAUCAAGUAUGUAUUGGAACUAUUAGGCUGAAACCAGAUGGCUUCUGUUUACUAAGCAAUACAAGAAUUGAGUUAUAAUUAGGUCUGUUUACUAACUUAUCUGUACUAUCAUCUUUUUUAAUUCAUUCUUUAAGCUAAAUUAGGGUAUUAGAAACAGAGCUGGGAAAGAAAUUAGUACCUGCAUUCAUUUUAGUGGAUCUUGGACCAGCUUGUUCAUUCAUCUACAACUAUUAGAGUUGCACAACUCCGUUCAUAUGCCCCCAGUGUUGGCCACAGCUGUCUUGUGUGCAUGUAAUUUAGAGAAUAAAUAAAUUUAAGUGUAGACUAAUAUUUCUUUUCUUUUAUGAUAUGUCCAAUGAACCACAUUUUUCAAUUAUACUUUUUUUUCCUCCCCUCAAAAAUACAUAUCCUUCCUAGUACUUUUCCAAUGGAUCUCAUUUGUUUUCUCCCUAAUACAUUUUUUGCAGUUAGAGGUGCCUCAAAAGCAAUUACUCAAGGAGAGAUGUGCUUUGGCAUGGAUUAUGUUGGAUAUUUAGUCUUUUUCUUAUGGAACUAAUGACACAUCUAUUUUAUUACAAUGCCUUUCCAAUUGGAUGAGUUUAUCAGAAAGGAUAGGCUUCAUGUUGGGACGUCUUUUGAUCUCCAUUUUUUGUCUAGUAACUAAUUUGUUCAAUAUUUACUUGUGGCAUGUGGGGACUGUCAUCUCCUUUGGAUGUACUCAUCAUUGUAUAUGGUGUAAAUGGUGACCUUCAUUACCUUAAUUUUUUUAUAUGUGGAUUCGAGGCUUCUUACGUGCUUAUGUGAAUCUUUUUUUAGCACGAUCAUUUCAUAAAUGUUACUCUAUGGCUUCCAGAAUUUCUGAAGAUUUUUUCAUGGAAUAUUCUAUGUUUUACCUUUCAAGGGGUUAAAAGUGAGAAAUGAAUUAAUUGGACUCUGGAAAUUGGUGUAGCUAUUCUGUGGCCUAGUAGCUCUUAAAAUUUUACAAAACUCCCUUUCCUUGUUAUUUGAUUCCCUCUCAUAUUUGGUAUGCUGAAUUACAGGUCUAUCAAUGGAAUCUUAGAUUAUAUGUUAUGUGGUUUUCAGAUGUGCCUAUAUUGUACUUAGAUGGUAUUAUGAGCAAAUUGCUAGUGCUACUUCAGGUAUAUUGUCAGAACAAUCAACACCCGACUUAUAAUACAUACGUUUAUAUCAGAUUUACUGUAAUGAACGAACAAUGCCUUCCUCUAAAUUUUUCAUUUUUGGUGCCAGAAUGGAAAACAAAUAGUGCAAGAAGGUGUAUUAAUUGCCUUGGCAUCAGUUGCUGACUCAUCUCAGGUAUUCUAUAAAAUAUGCUUUGAUUAGAAGCUAUUACUUAUAGAAACCUGUCUGACAGGAUGAUCUUUUUUGGAGUAGCUACUCGGAUGGAAACUUCUUUAAAAAGGGAAAAAAAAAAUUAGGGAAGCAAAGUUUAUGUUGAAUUAAAAGAAAAGGUAUCUACAAAAGUGAACAAUCCGUCGCUCCUUAUAAUACCAGCUUCGGCAUUUGAAGUUCUCUCUCUCUCUUUUUUUUUUUUUUUUUUGGGUUGAAAAGAAUAUUUCUAGAUACAUAUAAUGCUCUUUACUGUCUGUUCACCUAAUAUUUAACUCAUUUUGAAGGCUCUAGAUUUUAUUAAUGAGAAACCAGGAGUCCGUCCUUGUAUUGAUUACCACAACAGCUGUUGAUUGCUGUGGUUUGUCUUUAACACAAGAACUUAAAAUUGUGAGUUUCAUUUUAUCCAAAAGCCUAACUUUCAAUGUUUUCAGACUAACCAUCCUUUCUCCACUAAAUCAGAAAACAUAUGAUCAGUAAUGAACUUAGAGAUUCAGUAUCUUAAUUUAGUGUAAGUAGCCCUACUAUAUAACAAAUUCAGUCUUCGGAUUCUGCAAUUCAAUUUUUCUUGAUAAGUUUACUUUUUUUUUUCUUUUUUCUCCUCAAAAUGUAACUAAUUUUCUUUAUCUUCAACUUUCUUCAAUGCUCAGGAACUAGUGAAACCAAAGUAUUUGAUGAGAGCAGCUCACUGGGAAGUGAUUACUUGACUGAGGUAAGAGCCUGAUUUCUAUAAACAGUACAAAAGGCCUUUGCGGAUGACUUGCACAGAUUUUAAAAUAGUCGCAACGUAAAUAUAGAUUUAUUGCCAUUUAGAUUUUUAGACUUUUAAGAAGCAAAUAAAUAAUUAAUUAAAGAAAGUAGUUUUAUCAGACAAAAUUCAUAUUAUCCUUAAAAUUCAAAAAUCAUCAUAAAAAAUUAAGUUUCUCUCGCCCUCUCUUACUCUCAGUCUUGUUCAACCCUUCGCCUCUCAGCCUUGCUCGAUAGUAAUUUAUUGAUUUCAGUUUUAGGUAAGCUCUGUCACUGCAAACUUUUGGUCAUGUGAAUUUUUGUUAUUGCAUAGAUCUUAAUUGGUCAAAUUGAAGGGGAGAAAGUUGCUGAUCGCAAAGCUGAUUCUGAAAGCACUUCUUCACUUUUUCAGUAUGAUUUUACAGAUUCAGUAUGUAAUUGAAGUUCUAAAGCAAUGAUUUAGAGUAUUUAGAUGAAUGGUUUAAAUUAAUCCAUCAAAGUUGUGGUUUAUACACAUGCAUCAUCAUGGGAACAUCUAAUUAGAUAAUAGAUUUUUACUUUUUAUCCUUCUUGUCUAUUUUAAAUAUGUGUGUGUGUGUGUGUGUGUGUGUAAAAAUAUAGGAAAAUUCUCAUGCGUGGAUGUCCGCACAAAAUGCAUGAAUUUUCAUGUGGAUUUAGGUGGUGAAAGCCUUUUACACCGGCAUGAAACCCCAAGUCCGUACAAAAAUACAUGCAAGCAUUUUAUAUAUAUAUAUAUAUAUAUAUAUAUAGUUAGGAGACUGCAUGAGGAAUACAACUCUUUGUUCAAAGUUGUAUUAGUCUGCAAUUCAGAAGUAGGCAAAUUGAAAUUACUUUCCUGAUUACUUGUAACGGGUUCUGUUCAGAGUCCAAUUCUACUAGUGGCGUCAAAUUCACCAUCUCUACUCUUCAAAUGACUAUUUGUCUUACUCUAUGCUUCAUCUUAGUUACAGUAAUUAGUUAAUUAAUUUUUUAAGAUCUAGUAAAAGUAAUUAGUUUUAUCUAAUUUUUAACUGGAUUUCCAGAUUAGGUUAAUUUAGAUUCAUGUGAAUUGGGAGUGAUUCAAUUUUUUAUCUGAUUUCACUGUUGAUGCAUAAUUACUAUUAGUAUGAUGAUUGAUUUGUGAUUUUAACUUAUAAUUUGGUUAUUGAUUUAGUUUAUACAAGAUGUAAUUGGAUCUAUCAUUGUGAGAUUGUAAUUCACAUGAAAUGACCUUUUUUUUUAAUUUAAAGUUGAAUGCUUUUUGAGUUUUUUGAAAAAGAAUGCUUUAUAAUUUUAAUCUGAAUAUUUUGGGUCACGAUUUAAAUGAUUAAUUUUAUGUGGUAAGUGAAGUAGCAGUGCCAAAUUGUAGACAGCUACAUAUUGGGGUGAAAGUUUGGGAUUUCAAUUAUACAUUUUAGAUGUAAUUUAUUCAUCAAGUUAAAAUCGUGCACUGGCAAAUUUUGUCAUUGAAUUGGAUAAUUAGAUCAGCAUUUGAUGUUUACUUGUGUAUGUGAGUAAGGCUGUUCUCUGUAUGUUGGAGUUGGUGAUGCAAGUUGAAACUAACCUGAUGUCGACUCUUGGCAUGUUAGAGUUGAAUUGGAAUUGCAAUUAAUUCAUUAAGAGUAACUUAUUAGAAAAUGGGGUUUUCUCAUUGAAUUAGAUAAUUAGAUCGGCAUUCGAUGUUUACUUGGAUAUGUGAGUAGGACUGUUCUCCAUACGUUAAAUCAGGUUGGAAAAAUUAUUUACUGAAUUGUUAUGGGUGCAAUUCAUGUGUUGAAACAUUGAAGAGUUUUAGCCAUUAUGUUACUAUCCUGUGGUUUUCUAAGGUACAAGAGACAUUAAAAAAAAAAAAAAACAUAAUAUCUUAAUCACUUCUAGUAAUCCUACAAGUGCACAUGACUUUGUGGGUUUUGAAUUCAAGGAACAAAAUAGUAAGUCUAGUGCGUAAUAUUUGAAAACACAUGUAAAAUGGAUUGAAUUGCUGUAAGAUCUGUCCAAAUUAAACAGUGUAAACUAAUUUACAGGCUUGUGGGAACUAAGAAUUUUUUUUUUUUUUCCUAGCAACUUCAGAGUCAUUGAAAAUUGGAAAUUUUGUCCAAAAGCAGCUUUUUGUUGUAUGAUUAAAGAGAAAUCUGAGAUUUCAGGUUGAAGGAAGGACAAUAAAAGCGCAGAUAUGGGACACUGCAGGCCAGGAGCAAUACAGAGCAGUAAUGACUGCCUAUUAUAGGUGCGCACUGGGAGUGCUCUUUUAGUUUAUGAUGUGAGAAAAUCAGCAUUUGUAGACGUGAGCCGGUGGCUGAAGAAUCUGAGGGACCAAGCAGACUCCAACAUCGUGAUCUUGAUGAUCAGCAUUGUGAUCUUUUAUUUAAUUUUUGUUAACAACAUUGUAUUUGAAUUAUUCUCCUCAUUGUUGUUGCUGACUUGAGAUAUCAGAAUUAUUUUGUUAUGGCAGUGUGCGCUAGCAAUGUUACAGCUUACUCUGGUUUUUAGUGUAUAGUAUACUGCUUCAGUUGGAUUCUCUACUACAAGGCAAUGAAGUUAGCUUUAACAUUUUCUGAGGUCAUUUUUGUAUAUUGAUUUGACAAAAAUGGUAUUUUCCUUGUGUGUUUGCCUCGAACAAUUGCAAUUUUCUAGUUAUAAUGUUUUUGAAACAACAUCCAAAUAGCGUUAAAUAUCUUUUGCUAUACAAAAGUCUCUCUCAGUUUGCUAUUAUUAUUAUUCUUUUUAAAGUUCAUUGCAUUAUUAUGACCAUUACAUAGUUUGUUAUAGCAAGUUCGGAUGCUGCACUACUUCAUUUGUGGAAACAGACUUUUAUUUAUUUAUUUUUUAGAAAAAGAAGAAUAAAAAAAAUACUAUGGCAACUUACUUGGCUCCAAGUAUAAUAUUAAUAAAGAAAUAUAUAUUGAGUGUGAUGCCACGUUGCAAUGGAAAAUUGUUACCAAUAAUUAAUGGAAAAUGAUAUGAAAGAAAAAAAUCGUACCUGAUGAAGUCAUGAAGCAUCAUCACAUCCUUAAGCUUUAAGACAAUAAUAGUCGUGUAAAUUGGGGACCCGCAAAGCCGUCGAGUAAAUUUGCUUAACGUGAUUUGAAGUUAUACAUAAUUGAUAAUUUCAAAAGAAAUGAAAAAGAAUAAUCGAAAAAUCAAUAUGCACUUCUAUCUUGCCACCACUCACCCUCUCGACUAAAUGUUGAACUUUCAUGGCUCUAAGCUCCCAUCAAGAAUUAGAAAUUCACAAAUCCAACCUUUAUUAUCUCAUCAAUACAACCUUUAUAAGCCGUGGCCCGUGGGGUCAAUUGCAUAUAUAUAUAUAUAUUUUGGCUGAACGGUCAAUUCCAUUUUACUUCUGACGUAACAAGCACUCCCAUUCCCACACACCAUUACUUAUUCACAAGUUUACAUUCAUUUGGCUUUUGAGUCCUGUGGUGCUAAUUUUUGAAGAUACUCUUUCUAAACUGAGCGACCAAUUUCUUUUAUGCUAAAUGUAUCGAGUGAUGCAGAAGAAGAAGAAGAAGAAGAAGAAGAGUUGCAUUCCGAAGCCAAUAUGAUGCAAAUAAGCUGCCCUCGCCAUCAUCACCUUCAACCGGCAGCACUUUAAUCCUUCAAGGCAUAUACAUGCCCUUUUCUUACAGUUUGUAGUCAUUAUGAGCUAAAUUUUCAACACAUACAUUCAGUUAUUUCUUUAUAUCAAUAUAUUGAUGAGUCUAAGUUUAAUUAAACUCAAAUUUUAAACUUUUGAAAGUAGAGGUUGAAAAGCUUUUUCAAAAUAUUAAAAUUUUUAAAAUAUUCUUCACUUUUUCAAUAAUUUUAUUACAUUCUUUUCAUAGCAUAACUUUUAAAAAAUUGAUUAUUAAAGUAAUUUUAUAGUUUUUAAUAAAAACUCUCAUUAACAAUCAAACAACUGUAAUUUUUUUCUUUGUAAAAACUUUACCACAAAAAAAAAAAAUAAACUCUACUCAAAAUCGUACCUCAUGAAGACAUGAAGCAUCGUCACAUCCUAGCACCUCUUUAAUUAAAACUCUUAUGAAACCCCCACAUAUUAUAUGUAUAGCUCUUAUAAUUAAAUAUUAAACAUAAUAUUUUAAAAUAAAAAUUCUUAUCAUUAUAUAAUUUAUUAUUUUAUUGUCCCAAAAUUAUUUUCAUUUUAAAAUGAUUAUUUAUAUCAUUUACAUAUGGGAGGGUUCAUGUUUUUUAAGUAUAAAAAUGUUUUAAUUAAGUUAAAUUUAUAUUUGUCCUUCUAUGUAAUUUUCCUCUAGCAAUAGAGCUACAAUUACAAAAUGAGGGGUAUUAAUCCUAUAAGUAAUUUAAGAGGCUGUGAAAAGCACUACUCUAAUAUUAUCUUCAUUAAAUUUCACAAAGAUAGUAACUUUUAUGGUUCUACCACCCCUCGAAUUUUCUUAUAAAGCCUUUCUUUUAUAUUUAUGAUUUCACCUUAGUAAGACCACAUAAAACAACAAAUUCAGUUUGAUUUUUUUUUAACCUCUUUCUUUUGUAUAAUUUUAACUAGGGUUGGGCAAAAUCGGAUUCGGAUCGGGUUCAGUUCAACCCGAUCGGAUUUCUGGUUGGUCGGGUUAGAAAUAAAUCCAUCCGAAUUCAAUCCAAACUUGUAAUCCGAUCUGAUCCGAUCCGAAUAUAUAUUCGGAUCGGGUCAAAAAAUUGGGUUGAGUUGGGGUCGGAUCGAAUUCGGAUUAAAAACGGUUUGAACUGGAAAAUGAAAAAUUUAUGCCCAUCAUUGGAAAAAAAUACAUUACAGCUUUCUUUAUCAUUGAUUUUUCUUUAUCAUUAGCUGGUGAACAUUAAAAUUUUACAAUUUAUAUAUGAUAAUAAUCACAACAUCAAGAAAAACCAUCAAAAUUUCAAAACACAAGGCUCAGGUUGCGGGUUGGAGAAGUCGGGUUGCUGAGUUGAAGUGGAGCUUGGAGGCGAAAAACUUGGUGAUGGACGGAAGCAUAGAUCUGGUGGUUGUGUCUGCAAAUAAUCAUCGGUUCUUGUGCUGCGUCUUUGAGUGACCAUCGGUUUGCUUUUGUGACUGAAACCCGAUCUGUGAAACCUGAUUGUGUGAGAAAUCGAUUUGUGAAAACUGAAGAGUGAAGACUUAAAAAGAAGAAAGCGAGGGUGUGAAGAUUUAAGGGUGAAAACUGGAGAAGAACCAAAGAAGAGAGUGAAGCGUGAGGCUGUGAAGUGUGAGUAAAAGGUUGUUUAUUGCGAUUUUUUGUGGGUGGGGGGUGGGUGGUGGGUGUGUGUCAGUGAGUUUGAGUGUGUCAGUGUUGAGUGUUUCGCCCCUUUGUGUGUGGGUGUUUUAUUUUUAUUUUUUAUUUUUUUUCAAUAGCCAAAUCCGAUCGGAUUUUCGGAUCGGAUCGGGUUUCGACGAUCCGAUCGGGUUAUGUUAAAAAUCCGAUCCGAUCCGAACCCGAUUAUUUUCGGAUCGGGUCGGGUUAUUUGCCCAGCCCUAAUUUUAACCAUGGUUAAAAUAGUUAAGAUAAAAGGAUUUAAAAUAUUAAAUGAUGGAACGAAGGGAAAAGUAUCCAAAUCACGGGGACAAAAGAGUGUUGCCCCAUACAGACUAAUUAAGAACGAUCCAUCAUCAAAAAAUGAUAGAGAAAGCGGGGCUAAGAAGUAUACACUGCAACUGUAUACUACUUUGACGUAAAACUUUAUUAUGGAAAUUAAGUAAUUAUAUCUUAUUUUGAUGGUUUUGCAGUUUGGAAAGUUUGCAAUCAUUAUCGGCACCAUACCACACAUUAUUUCUAUUUCUAAUUCCAUUGCUUGUCGAAAUUAUUGAGAUUAAUAAUAUUCAAGAUGAAAAGAAAAAUGUUGAUCGAAACAAAUCCAAUUAGUAUGUGCCUGUUUCUGUUGGCUCUACUCAUCUACGUCUUUGCCUUUUUUGUUGCCAUGAAAUCGAACCAUCAAAUAUUCAAGGCAAUUGCUGUUAUCUCAGGAUCUCUUUGUUCAGCCUCGUUGGUCUCCAUUAUUCUACCACACCCAUAUGGACAUUUUAGUUUCAUUAUGUGGGCUUUUGUUCUUCUUCUUGUUGCUUAUAACAGGAGGCUUUAUAAGAAGAUUUGGUAAUUUUGGAAUAGAUUUGGAGAAAACAACCAACUACAAUUGCCAAUAUAGCUCGAUCGCCUGCUAGGUGUGGAUGAAUUAAAACUUUUACAUGCAAAGUACCAAAAAUCAUUAAGUGCUAUUAUAGUUUAUUCACAUACACAUCUCUUAUAGUUCUUAGCUUGACCAAAUUAUGAUUUUAAUUAUCAAAAGAAGAUCUUGUACCAAUCUAAAACAUCAAGUUAGUGUUAAAUUGAUCAAUUUAUCUUAUAUUGAAGAUUUUGUUUUUUCAUUUACUUACCACAUUUAUCGUGAUGCAUUGAUUUAGGAAAAAUAAUCAAAAUCCUUGGUUGUUUAAGAAAAAAUUCAUUAACUUUAAUUUCAAAUAUUUGUUGUAUUUUUUUAACUUUUAAUGUGAUAAAUCUACCAUUAAACAAUGAAAAAAAUCUAGAUAUACUGGUUAAAACACACCCAAAAAAAAAAGUUCACAAUUUUAUUUUUUACAACAUGAGUAUUCCAAUGAAUUGUGAGAGAGGAAUUGAUUAAUUUCUACAAACCGAAUGAGGUUUAAUAACACAUAUUUCAAAAGGUAUUUAUUAAUAAAAGUAUAAAUAAAAUACAUCACUUCAAAAAAGAAAAAAAAAUGAAAAGCAAAAUUACCAUUUGGCUGAGGAGUAUAUGCUGUUGCGUGAUCAAAUUUAUUUUUUAUUUUCCCCCACCUUGUCGAAGCUGGUACUAAAACUAACCAGUAAAAUUAAAAAAUAAUAAAUUGGCUGUACUAAGCUAAAUGCAUAAAUCAAUUAAGCAUUUUUUUUUUCAAAAAGAAAAUUAUAUAUGCAGACACGCACAUGUGGAUGACAGCGGCGGUGGCCAAGAAGCAGCCAGAGUGGCAGCGGCGGCAGCUGUGACGAUUGUGGCAGCGACCAUGAUUGUGUUUGUAAUAUAUUUGCCUUCUCUUAUUUCUCUCUCUCUCUGCAUUACAAUAAAAAUUAUCGUAAAUAAUACGCCAGAGAAGGGGGAGGAAGCACAUGAGAUGAGAAUGGCCCCAUGAUAUGAUAGUGGACUUGAGCAAAGUCGCUGGUGCCUUUUGAAUUUUGAUGCCGCAAUUUUUAUAUUUUUUUUUUGUGUGGAAAUUUCUCAUUUACAUGUGGCAAUUACAUAAUUAAUUUAACAAUACUUUAAGAAAAAUGAUGCAUGCACAAUAAUUUUAUAAGAGAUAGAAAAAUAUUUUGUAGUGAAGUUUUCUUUUGUUAUGCAGUUAAUUUUUUUUUAUUCUAUAGUGAUCGUGUAUGGUUGUUUGUACUAUCUGUUGUGCACAUGUUAAUAUAUAUAUAUAUAUAUUAAUUUAAUUGUAACAUUUGGCCUAAAACAUUGAUUUAGGGAAAAUAAUCAAAAUCCUUGGCUGUUUAAGAAAAAAAAAACUAUUAAUUUUAAUUUCAAAAUUUUGUUGUAUUUUUUUAUUAUUUUACCUUUGAUGUGAUAAAAUCCACCAAUAAUGAAGGAAAGAUUCUGGGAUAUAUUAGUUAAAAAACAAAAAAAAAGAAAGAUAAAAGUUCACAUAAGUUUUUUUUUUUCUUUUAACAACAUGAGUAUUUUGAUGAAUUGUGAGAGAGAAUUGAUUAUUUUUUACAAGAAAAAUAUGGGUAUUAAUCAUUUUCAUGAUUUAUCACCUAUGUGCAAAGUACAAAUAAGAAUACAACAAUAUAACAAUGAAAAGAAAAUUACUAUUUGGCUGAGGAGUAUUAUGCUGUUGCAUGAUCAAUAUUUUUGGGCUCAUUCUCUCUCUUUGUUUUUUACAAUAAAAAAUUAAAAAAAUAAUAUAAAAAAAUCACAGGAAAAUCAAGGAAAUCUAAACCUUAUCCUCAUGACACCACAUCAGAAACAGCACUUACCCAUUCCUAUGUUACAUGUAUACAGGUUGAAGUUGUCAUCUCUGAGUCCAACGCAAUAUUCAUCCAAUUGAUUUUUGGAGACACCAAAACAAGUCUCGAGCACUUGAUAGGAAUUUGCCCAUCUGGUCAACGCAAUAUUCUAUAAAUUGGAUGUAUAGAUGAUCGAAAAGAAACUCCAGCGACUAGGCCCCAAAUAUAGCUUUCUGUCACGGGACGAGAGGUUACGAACCCGUGCGGCACUCCCGCAUCCCAUACUACGAGAGUAAGCCUAGUGGAAGUGGCACAAUGUCGACUGGUUUCGCCCUGCCUCGGGCUCGUCAGGAGAACGGCUUCAGUUCCCAACCAGUGUGCGUCAGGAUUUUCCUAGACCCCACUUCAACGUUAAGUCCUCGACUAGCGACAAGCUCCCCAAACUCAACCGGGUCGGCCUGCCUGAACUCCAAAGAGUCUAGGGCAUUGUAUUCCCCACACACACAUUCCUGAAGCACGUCUCCAACAAUCAGCACAACCAUCAUCGACACUAGCGUACCAGCGCAUAUCUUGGGUGCCACGAUUGCGGUCCGUGACAUUCUCCCACCGCCAUAACCACGCACGUCCUCGUGCAUGCAGAGUACGCCUCGCAAAUGUGCACUUCCGCGCGAAAACGUGAAGAUCGCCUUGCCAAUCUCAACCCAUGAACUCCCUGCCUACUCGUCCUCAAUCCGUGGAGAGGACCCGCGUGCAGACACCAUCCACUCGGUGCGAACGCUUGGGGGUGUGAGAACCCGCCUGUUCGUCCCGCUUGUCGACCCUUGCUUCCAAAAGGGUGGGGACCCGCGUGGUGCGGCAUUGGAGCGCUUGGCGAGCUCGCGACGAGGGCUUCGAGAGAUGACAAGCGCGGCUCUGAUACCAUUUUGUCACGGGACGAGAGGUUACGAACCCGUGCGGCACUCCCGCAUCCCAUACUACGAGAGUAAGCCUAGUGGAAGUGGCACAACGUCGACUGGUUUCGCCCUGCCUUGGGCUCGUCAGGAGAACGGCUUCAGUUCCCAACCAGUGUGCGUCAGGAUUUUCCUAUACCCCACUUCAACGUUAAGUCCUCGACUAGCGACAAGCUCCCCAAACUCAACCGGGUCGGCCUGCCUGAACUCCAAAGAGUCUAGGGCAUUGUAUUCCCCACACACACAUUCCUGAAGCACAUCUCCAACAAUCAGCACAACCAUCAUCGACACUAGCGUACCAGCGCAUAUCUUGGGUGCCACGAUUGCGGUCCGUGACAUUAUGGUCAAGUAAGAAACGCGAAAAAAGAUGACAAAAGUAAUUAAGUUCCAUACGAAUCAAAGAAAGAACUGCAUUUAUUGAAAAUUAAUGCUGAAGAGGGGUCUAGGAAAAUCCUGACGCACACUGGUUGGGAACUGAAGCCGUUCUCCUGACGAGCCCGAGGCAGGGCGAAACCAGUCGACAUUGUGCCACUUCCUCUAGGCUUACUCUCGUAGUAUGGGAUGCGGGAGUGCCGCACGGGCUCGUAACCUCUCGUCCCGUGACAAUAAGCUUAGUUAUGAGCAUUCUGUGAUCUAGAGAGCAAGGGCUAGGAGCUUGAUGGUGCCAUGUUAGAAUAGUGUUAUGAGGUUUGUUCAUGCAUUAACAAUUGAUCUUGAUGUAGGCAAAUUUUUAAACCCAGUGAGUGUAUAAGUUUCUCUUCUUUUGGGUUUUGUAGAAUUAUUCAUUUUUCUCCUUAAUUCCCUUUAUCAUGCUCUGCCAUAACAGAGAAACAUGGCAGAGCAUUAUGAAUAUUAUUAUUUAAUAAUAAUAAUAAUAAUCAUUCUAAUCGAAAGAAUGAUUGAUAGAUGAUUAAUCAACAUUGCUUAAUCAAGAAAUAACACAAAAAUAUCAAAGAAACAAUAUUGAACUAGGCAAAAUGAUCAAUUACAAAAAGGCCGCAUAAAAGAACACAACACAGGCAGGAAAAAAUAAUCAUCCUUACUCUUCUUAAAAUGAGUUUAUCUUAAAUUAAAAAUAGAAUCAUAUGUCAUCUGAACAAAAAUUCUGCAGUUCAUAAAUAUAUCAAAGACUCUACACAAUCACUCAACGCAAGUUUUUUACACCAGGAUGUUCUGACUUUCAGUCACCAGAGCUGGGUUAUAAGUUGGUUGACAGAGCAAUUCCGGCACUUGUAACUUGGAGUUAAGAGAGUUUCUAAUAUUGACUCAGUGUAAAGUUUGCAAAAAGGUCUAUUGAUCUGGGUCUUUUUCUCUUACAUAGGAAGCUUUCCUCCUGAUUGUUAAAAUUAAUAUGGCAGCAUAUGUUCUUGUUUAUAUUUAUAUCCUAAGGGAGUGGGGAGUAACAAUUAUUUCUUAAAUAACUUUUGAUGGUUUUGCAGUAAUGACAAUUUCAUUUCCUCAAUUUCAUAUCAAAAAAUUUUUGGAUAUCUCAUCCCGACCUUGGUCGCUGUCAUGAGUGCGAAUGUGCAAGGCACAAAUGAGCCGUUGAUGGAAACUCGUAGAGUAAGCUUGUGUGUUUCUCUGGUGGCCAUAAUCUUCUACUACAUUGCAUUUGCUGCCGAUAACAUAUCUCGACGCUAUCAAGCAAAAUUUUCGCUACAUUGCAUUUGCUGCCGAUAACAUAUCUCGACGCUAUCAAGCAAAAUUUUCGCAGCUAUGUGGCCCUAUUGCUCUUAUCUUUGGAUCUCUUUCAGUAGCGUCGUUGGUCUCCACAUUUUUCACACAGUUGCUGAAGUCAUUUGCUAUGUUGCAUUGGGUUGCUCUGGCAGCACUGCUAUUAUCAUGGUUGCAUACCAAUACGGCAGAAAAAUUAUGGAUGCUUGUCAUUGGCUUUACCACAAAAUUUUGAGGCCAUCUUUCUGCAAGAUAUUGAAUUGGUUUAAAGCUCAUUAUAACAACAACCCUUCGCCAGAGCAGCAGCAACGUCCGGCAGUGUAAUUGAAGAAGUUUAAUCUUUGUUUUAAAUUGCAUCCAAGACUUUUCACUGACAGGUUCCACUUAUGUUUCCAGAUUUCCAUAGAUUAAAAUAAAUACCUGCUGUUGCAAACAAAUAAGCUCUGUUUUGUUUUUUUGUUGUUAUUUUCACUCUCUGUUUCAGCUUUUCAUUGGUUCAUGAUCUUCGGUUUCCUUUUAGUUUCUUGGCUGCUUCACUUCUUUAUGCCUUUUCACUGAUAGAUUCCACUUAUGUUUCCAGAUUUCCAUAGAUUAAAAUAGAUACCUACUGUUGCAAACAAAUAAGCUCUGUUUUUUUUGUUGUUAUUUUUACUCUCUGUGUCAGCUUUUCAUUGGUUCAUGAUCUUCGGUUUCCUUUUAGUUUCUUGGCUGCUUCACCGCUUUAUGCCUUCACGACGGCUUGACUUCUUUAUGACUUCUUGAUUGCUUCCUUUCUCUAAGGCUUCUUGGCUGCUUCUUUCUUCCAGCUUUUUAAUGCUCUGUUUCUUUUUCUUCUUUGUUGCUUGAUCUUAAGGCUUCUUUUAAGUUCUGCCUCCUUUUGUCUUUCUUUUUCCUCUUGGUCCUCCUCUGUUCGAGUUCUUUGAUUUCUUUCUUGCCUUGGCUUUCAUGAACUGAAUUCUCGUUGCUGCUCUUCUCUGUUAUUUGCUGUUGCUGCUGUUCUCUGUUAUGGGCACUUGCCGAUUCCUUGCUGCCCCUCUCUUGGCCCCCUUUUACUGUCAUAAUCUUGCCCCUUUUAUAGAUAAUUUUGUGCUUAUCUAUUACAGGUGUCAAUACAAGUUACACAUGCCCAACACCUUGACUCUCCAGCACAGUAGGCUUAUAUUUCAUUAAUUCAUUAACAAUACCCAAUAAUAUGCAGCUUUUAAUUCAAUAAUAUACAGUUUUUUAUAGUGCGUUCAUAUCGGAUUAUUAGAUGCAUUGUUUUAUUAUUAUUAUAAAAUAUCAAUAUAUGUAUUGCACUUGUAUUUUCCUGACGAAUUAGAGACUUGAUAUCAGCUGCAAAGGCAAAGCAGUAGAUUGUUUUAUUGUUAUUAUAAAAUAUAAAUAUAUGUGUACCAACUAAGUGUUGGCUCCAUUAGCAAUGGAGUCUCCUUAAGUGGCUUGACUGGGUUUGCUACUCAGUUCGAAUUGCAGGGAAGUCGCCUUUGUUGUGAGAACCUGUGCCUCCCGGUUCGAGCGGGGACUUCUAAUCUGAGUUAUGGUACGGGUUUAAAGGUGCCUCCCACACUUGGGGCCCUCCCCAAAAUACCUCAUGGUUAAGACAAAAAAAAAUAUAAAUAUAUGUGCGUUAAUAUCGGACUCUUAAUCAUGCUGAAAUUGUCUCAACAACCAGCUGAUAAUAAACCCAGAUUGCACCAGAUUCAGCCACGUGGAUAGCGGUUUGCAACGACGCUGAUUCCAGCUCCUCACAUGCUUCCUCAUGUGAACCACUUAAGUCAUGGUUAAAACGGCUUUCGAGGCUGUCGUUUUAAGGCCUAUGAAACUUAAGUCAAUCACGUGUACAGCUCGUGAUCAACUAACUCAAACCCCUUUGCUUAAAACGCUGCCGUUCCUUAUGUAUAAGUUUUGAAUUCAGCAUUUAGUCCAUACUAAUAGGGAAUAUGUUGUUGUUUCGGAUAAUUUUUAUGAUAGAAUAUUUUUAAUUGUCUCACCACCUCAUUUUUUAAACAUGUUUUUAUCUAAACCUUUUGAAGGUACUUAUUUUAUUUUUAUUAUUUUAGGAAAUUCGAAAUCCAAUUCAUAUCCUCGAUUUUUUUGGCCGUUUUCAAAUACUGGCAGUUUUCCUUAAAAAAAAAAAGUUAAAAAUAAUAAUGCUUUGAAGGCAUAAAUUAUCAAACUUUCAACCACUUAAAAAAAAAAAGUUAACAAUAAUAAUAAUUUGAAGGCAUAAAUUAUCCAAGGAAAUAGGAUUAAUUUUAAAAGUCAAAGUCCAUAUUCAUCUUUACUUCUUAUCAAGCAGGAGAAUUGUUGUUUUCCCUCUACGAAAAUGACUAUUUGCCACUAAACCCAUUCUAUUUUUAUAACGUCUGGUAACUUGCUUGACAUCAUAAUUUUAGAUUAUUAUUCUCAUUUCUAAAUACGUUUUUAUUCAUUUUUUUAUAAGUUUGAUAAAUCUGAAAUUAAAAUUUAAAAAAUGUUACACAUUAAAAAUAAGAAAAAUUCUUAUUCUUAUUUUUUUAUUUAUUCUAAUCUAUUUCUUUUUAUUAUUUAUUUAAUUUUUUACAUAUAAACUAAAAUGAUAUUAAUUAAAAAUAAUAAAUAGAAACUUUAAAAUAAUUUCUACUUUAAAUACAUAUUUGCUUUUCACAUAGAUUGUAAGAUAUACCAAAUGAUCACUGUAUAACAAACAAAAAUAUUAUAUUAGUAAUGUUCCAAUGAGGGAUUCCUUUAACUAUUAAAUUAAGGGAUAAAUUAAAAGAUAAGUAAAACAUACGCGUCAAUGCAACGUAUUUUAUUAUGUAAUGGAUUAAAGUGCAUGUUUUUCUUUAUUUUUAACUUAUCCUUAACUUAAUAACCUAAAAAAACUCUUUAUUGGAGCAUUACUAAUAUAUGUAUGUAGUAUCAUUCUCUAGUGUAAAUGUCCUCAUAUUUUUCAUAUGGCCAUAUUAGUAAACAGUGCAGUUUAAUAGUGCAUUAAAACAUAACUCUAUUAAAACUUAUAGUUUGCAUUGACUUUAUUAAAUCGCACGGUUUAACAGCAUGUCCACAUUAAAAAAAAUACAUUGUAUAUCUCAUAAAAAAAAAAAAUUAUGUUUGCUAUACCAAUAAAAUUGGAGCAAGCAUCAUGACACUUAUUAAUGUCAGAUUUCUUAGGUUAUUCAAUAAAAUUGGUUUCAAUCUCGCUUUUAUUCAAGAAUUUCAUGUUUGUAUCCGAUUAAUCUCAUCAAAGUUGAUGUGUUUUUCCUCUAACUAAUGGUUAGGGAUGUAAUUUAUGUCUCUUAAUUUAAAAAGUUUAGGUUUGGGCUUUGAUUAUUUGAUUAUUAAUCUUGUAGCCUUUGGAUACUUUCAAUGAGAGUCUAUUAAUCCACAUUAAGUAUGUUGUAUUUGGACUAUUAAGCUGAAACUAGAUGGCUUCUGUUUACUAAGCAAUACAAGAAUUUGAGUUAUAAUUAGGCUAGCUUUAUGGUUGGCUGUAACUAGAUGGGUUCUGUUUACUAACUUAUCUGUGUUAUCGUCUUUAUUAACCCGUUCUUUAAGCUAUAUUAGGGUAUUAGAAACAGAGCUAUGAAAGAAAUUAGCACCUGCAUUCAUUUUAGUGAAGCUUGGACCAGCUUGUUCAUUCUUAUACAACUAUUAGAGUUGCGCAACUCCAUUCAUAUUCCCCCAGUGUUGGCCAUAGCUGUCUUGUGUGCAUGGAAUUUAGAGAAACAAUAAAUUUAAUGUUAGUGAAUUUAUAAUAAAAAGCUAAAUUCACACGAUGUUAAAUUUAUUGUAAAAGAAAACAAUGUUAAUGUUAGUGAAUUUAUAACAAAAAGCUAACCACGCAUGAAACUUAUUUUUAUUUAAUUUUUGUUAACAAUGUUGUAUUUGAAUUAUUCUCCUCGUUGUUGUUGCGACUUGAGAUAUCAGAAUUAUUUUGUUAUGGCAGUGUGCGCUAGCAAUGUUACAGCUUACUCUGGUUUGAGAAUAGAUGUUGAAAAAGUUUUUUUCAGUAUUAAAAUUUCUAAAAUAUUCUUCACUUAUUUAACAAUUUUAUUUCAUUCUUUUCAUAAUAUAACUUUAAAAAAAUUGACUAUUAAAAUAAUUUUAUAAUUUUUAAUAAAAUUUCUCAUUGACAAUCAAACAACUAUUUUUUUUUUUUUUUGUGUGUGAAACCUUUACUUGUAAAAGUUUUACCAAAAAAACUUUAUUUAGAUGAGCUCUAUUUGAAAAGGUUUUACCAAAUGGAGUCUCAAUAAAGUUAUUUAAUAGAUAAAAUAACUUAUUUAAUCCUUAAAAGUUCUUCUUUAAAAUUAAAACAACUAUAAAAAUUUUGAAAAGAACCUAUAAGAUUAAAUAAACAUUUAUAACUAUUAAGUAACUCAUAGCAAAUAGGCACAUAAUUGUAAAAUGAUAAGACUUUAAUAUUUUCAUAGUGAUUUGAUAUUUUGUAAUUCCUGAAAUAGUUAGGCGAUAAUAACUCUUUUUAUAAUUAUAAAAUCAUAUGUUUGCUUGAACAACAAAUUAGAAUUGACAACACUGUUGUAAUGUAAAAAACAUUAGUAAAUUUACUUUCACUACAUACUUCAAUUACAUUACUUUUUGCACUGUUUAGGGUCCUCUGUAGCGGAAUGUGAACAGACCGUUUGUAUGCUUAAAGAUUCGAAUUAGUUGAGUUAAUUAACCCGAGUUAGUUGAUAAGAGAUGUGAUUUCUAUCCACCCCGCCACUGAGUUGAGUCAAAUUAUGGGGAUGUACGAGUGUGACUCUGCCUUUUUCUAUGAGAAAUUGUAACCCCUCUUCCUCAUUUUAUUGCUUCUCUUUCUUCUCUCCCUGCUUUUUUAAACAACCGCACAUUAAUCAUCACGUUUUGCAAAUAUUCUUCAUCCAUCCUUUGACCAACAUCUUGCUCAUCAAUUCAGACGUUAAAACAAUAAUCUUACCAGGUCCACAGUCACUAAUGAUCUAAUAAUUUGAUGAAAUAAAUAGAUAGAGUUUGUUGAAUCAUGCAUGAAUGAUAUAAAUAAAAUAUAACUUUGUUUUUUCCUACUUAAUCAGCGAUGAAAAAUUAUUUUAAAUUCGAAUCUCUUAUAUCUGCAUUUUAUUACGGACUUGCCGUUCUUUGAUGGUAGGAAAUUGAUUGUAUGAAAGAUAAAAAUUAAUUAGAAUUUUGUAUAGUAAAAAAAUUGAUUUUUUGUGUGAAGGUACAAUUCUUUUUGCCCUUCGAACGGGUGUGAUUUUGAUGGUACAAUUAAAGCUUAGCAGCCAUUCGGCCUUUGGCCGAGUGGUCAGGGCUACUGCCCUCCAACUUGGAGAGCAGCAGUUCGAACCCUCACAAAGUAUUUGUGGGGGUAUUUUUUUUCUCAAUUAAAUUUGAGUGAAGGCAGUCUUCUUUCUUACCCAAGUGUGAGGAGUAGACAUUCUUUGAAUAUUUGUGAAGGUUAAAAUCUAGGCAGCGCUCCAUUAGCAUUGAUGUAAGUUGUGUAAGUUGAUCCCAGUAAUAGUCUGAUUUGUAAAUAUCAGUUAUAAUUUCAUGUAAUAUGAGAUGUAAUUUGAGUAAUAGUCUCAUGUAAUAAAAAAAAAAUUAAAGCUUAGCGAGUACACUAAUCAGACAGUAAUCAAUACGUGGAAACUGGCUAAAGUGAGAAAUUCUAUAACUUUACGGAUCAGCUUUAGCCAAUUCCAUUACUUGCAUGUUUUUCCUCUCUCCUCAGGAUACGUGUGCUCUUUCCAUUCGGUGUUAUUCGUCGACUACCGCAGCAACCAUUACUACAAUUACGAUGCGAAUUUGACAUAUAAAAUACCAAAAUUGCACUUGAUUAACUCCAAAAAAUAACAAAAUAAGCAUUAUGUUUUGGUAAUUCAAAAACAUUUUCAUGGUGCCCAUGAGAACUGCGAGUUGAGCACAUGCUCCUGAGCUUGUCGGCUUUGUGCAGAAGAAGAAGAGUUGCAUUCCGAGAUCAAUAUGAUGCAUAUAAGAUGCCCCUGCCAACAUCGACAGAACUUUGAUCCUUCAAGGUUCCCAAGUACACUUUUCUUACAUUUUUAGUUGUUAUGAACUCAAUUUUCAAUGCAUACAGUGUUGGGAAAAUAUGCUCUUUAAAAGCAUAUGUGUUUAUUUAAUUGUAAUAAAUAAUUUUUCUGAUUAAUAAAAUAAAAGAGGUAUUUUAUUCAAAUAUCUUAAUUGCAUUAAUAUUUGUAUUAAAAUCCAUUUAAUCAUAUUAUAUGUAUUUAUGUGAUCACCAUGUGGAUUCACAGAAGACAUAAAUACAAGUUAUCUUAUGAUUAAAUAAAUUUAGUUCGCAGUUGAUAAAUAAAGUUGGGCACUUUAUUUAGGUAUAGACUGUAAUAAAUUCAUUGAAUGAUUUGUCUUAAUCAUGUAUGAAUUUAUUGAUGUAGUACGACUACAUUGAACAGGAUCACAUAUGAGAUUUAAUUAACUUUGUAAUAACUGUCAGACAUAUUAAAUCUCAUAGGCAUUGAUUUUACUGUAAUCUUAAUCUUGAGUUAAUUAUGAUUUCAUGAUUGUAAUUGUUAUUCCAUUUGAGUUACCAAUGGGCACGACACAUCCUUGUGGUCAAUAUUACCCGGUAUCUUGGUGGGAGCAAUUAUGAGUAAUGAAGUUAUGGAUUAACAAUAUAGAAUUUGUACAACACAUCUCUUGAUGGGUUUUCGGCACUUGAUCAUAUAAUUCUCUGGCCAGAGUGUGUCAACAUAUUUAGUAUGUUGAAAAUGAUCAUUAGAGAAAACCAGUAAGGAUCAAGGAAUAAGAUGUUAUUAAAUUGAUUGGACAGUUGAGAUAUCAAUUUAAUUAACGAUGUGGUACAAAGGAUUGUGCAGUAAAGAAAUCAAUGUGGCUUGGGACAAAUUAUUAUUCGAGCAUACAAUUAUGGAAGUCAGUUCCAAUCUUUUAGUGGAGUAGAUUUGGAAUUAAAUAAUUAGGCUAGUUUAAUUAUAGGCCUAAUUAUUGUAGCCACUAUUGUAUGUUCCCAAAUGAUCCCCGGGUUAGCUCAUUUAAUUGACUGCACCACUACUGGACUAAUAAGUAACAUAACUAGCUAUUUGGGUCAAAAGCCUAAAUAUAUCAUUUAGUGGGAGGCUCCAUUUAAUUAGCUUUUGUGUAAGGGGCCUUAUGUUAUUUUACAAGGUGGGUCCCCUAUUGAAAAAGCAAAUAUCGUGGGUUUUAUUUUUUGGGAUUAUUUGGAGCCUAGGGUUUUCACUAAAGGGUGAUAUAAAAGGCUUAUUUUCUCUAUAAAAAAAAAAAGCCACUUUAUACAUAUCAGAGAAUAAAAUUUUUCUCUCUAUUAUUGAGAGAAAAAUUUUCUCGUGCUAGUUGCUUUGGUAGUGAUAAAGGCGUCCAUACGUCAAGUGCAGAUCGAACCUGAGUCAUAACCUGGAAGAUCAUUGGUGACAGUUUGUGAUCUAACAAGCGUGGUGGUGACGGAUCGUGAUCUAAUAGGAGUAGUGGUGGCGGAUCGUGAUCUAGGAGCCUAAAUCACUUCAGCGGAAAAAGCCAACUCGGAUUUUCAAGGUACGAUUUCUAGAAUACAAAUUCUUAUAUAUUAUAUGAGAGCGAUCUUCAAAAGGUUUUAUAAAAAAUUUAAAAACCUAAUUUUUCCCUAACAAUUGGUAUCAGAGCCAUUUCAUAUUAAUAUAUAAGAAUUUCGUAUGAAAUCAAUUUUAAUAUUUAUGCAUUAGAGUGGCACAAUUUAUUCAGAAAUAUAUUAUUUGUGUAAUAUAUGAAUAAAGCAUGUUUUGGUUUGUCUUAAUUCAUGGUUAGAUUUUCUGUUGUAUUUUUCGUUUGGAUCUGUAACAAGAGGGGUGGGUUUUUAUCACCAUAAUUCCCUCUUGAUUUAUUUUACUGUAAUUGAAAUUUUGUAAGCCAAAAUUUGCGUUGAAAAUUUGUAAAUCACUGAAGCAUCAUCACUGGAAAACGAGCUCAAACAAUCGAGGCUGGAAAUUUCAGCAACAAGCGGUCAGCAGCACACGCUGCUGCGCGAGCAGCGCGCGGCCCACGUGGGCAGCAGCGCACGCUGCACGCCCAGCAGUUGCCGCGUGCGCGCUGUGGCUAGCAGCUGCAGCACGCGACCAACAGCUGCAGCGCGCGCGGCCAGAAGCUACAGCAGGAGACAGCGCCACCUGGUGUAGCGUAAGGGAUAAUGGCGUGCAGUUCGCGGGUUCCGUCGAUUGGUGGCUUUCCGGCGUGGCGGCAAUGGUUAAAUCGGCGUCGGACUUGGAUGAACAGUGACUGUUUUUGGAGAUGGCGGCUGGGGAAGAGAGAAAGACAAAUAUGAAUUUAGGGUUUCUUGGUUUUUAUCAUGGUGGUCCCUAUGGUUCCAUAAGUUUUCAUUUGGGCAGAAAAGUUUUUAAUGUUUUGCGUUUAAAUCCAAAAAACAGUUUUGGGUUUAAUGAAUCCUAGUUUUAGGCCCAAUUUCAAUUGGGCUUAAUGGAUUAAAAUGCAUAGAUAAAAUUAAAUACAUUAAAUUUAUUUUUGGUCCAAAAGUUUUAUUUAAUUAUUUAUUUAUUUCCUUUCAAAAUUAAAAUUGGACCAAUUAUAAAUUUAAAAGCUCAAUUUCCCCUAGUCCAUCAACAAAGACAAGCUUAUGGAAGACGAACAUUGACAAGAAGCCCAAUGAAGAUUAGGCUUAGGGUUAAUGUAUUUUUCAUUAUUAGGAAAGCCAUGAAUUAAGAUUAAUUAAUUGUUUUUCUAUAUGUUAUGUUUUGGAUGAUAACAUGCCAUGAUAACAUGUCAUAUAAAAUAGGUAGUGCCACUCUAUGCAUAAUCAUACAUGUCAUUCAUUAAUUAUGAAUUUCAUUAUAUUGUUUGAAAUUUGCCUAUGCUUAAUAAUAUUGGAUAUCAUCUAGAUAAUAUUAUAGGAAGCAUGCAAUUAACAAUAUGUAUGUUUUAAAAAGGAAAAAUCAAUUUUAAAAUAUUGAGUGGGAGAGGGAAAAUUUAAGAUAAUUUUUCCCACGGGCUCCAUUGUUAGUUCAAUAAUAAAAUUAUAUAUAUACCUCGACUUCAUGAUACGGUGAUGCUCCCUACGGAGGGUAUAUAUAUUAGAUAUUUUAUUUGAUGAACUUCUUCAAAGAUAAAAUUGAAAUAUUUUUCAAUCAAUUGUUCGCCCCAACGGUGACUAUUGAUAUGAAAAAUACGUAGAUUGAAACAAUGGUUAUACACUCAACUAAAAUUUGUUAUUAACCUUCCCAACGAAGCUCUGUUAACAAAUUUAGGCUCAGAAUGAUAACGAUAAUUAUUUAUCAUGUCUCUACAUGAAAGUAAAUAAUCUAAUGGAUAAUUGGGUCUAGUAAGUGUAGACAUGACUUCCCCAACGGAUAGCUUGUCAAAGCGGUACUAGAUUAUCGUUACAAUAAAUUAAAAUGCAUUUAUGAUUUUUUGCAUUUUUGUCAUUUAUUGUGAAUAUUGUUUCUAAAUAUUUAUGCAUGUGUAUUUUGUUUUUUUUUUUCAGUAAAUGUCUUCCAUCAACCCAUUAUUAAUUAUCCUUGUUAAAAAUGAACUCACUGGCGAAAAUUAUUUAGAUUGGAAACGCAAUCUAUUUAAUAUUCUCACUGCUAAGGGAAGCAAAUAUGUGUUGACCCAGCCUUGCCCUCCUGAACCAUCGUUAUACGAUUAUAGAAAUCAGAAAGAGCCUUAUGAGAAAUGGUGCGAAGCUAACAAAAUGGCUAAGCGCUAUAUAUUGGCUUCGAUUUCUGUGGAACUGCAUAAGAAACAUCGGAGCAUGGAAACAGCCACUGAAAUUAUGGCUAGUCUUCAUCAGAUGUUUGGGCAAAAUACCCAUUUUGCCAGAGAAGCAGCAUUAAAACGUAUUACGGAUACUAAGAUGGAAGAUGGCACAAAAGUUCGUGAUCAUAUCCUCAAAAUGAUGGACUAUUUGAAUGAGGUAGAGAUUCAUGGUGUACAAAUCAAUGAUAAAUCAAAGAUUAACAUGGUGAUUGAAUCUUUACCUGAUACAUUCAAAGAGUUUAAGGUCAGCUAUAUCUUAAACAAUAAAGAUAUGACCUUAAUUGAAUUAAUGCACGAACUACAUGCUAUAGAAGAAUUUUAUCAUAGCAGAAAACUUCCUGAAAAAGAAUUCUCUUCAAGGCUUAAGUCGAAAGACAAGAAUGAGCAAGCAAGAGUUGGGAUCGGCAAACUGUCCACCAAAAGAAGUGGCAAGCCAAAAGGCAAGUGUUACAAAUGUGGACAGAAGGGUCACUGGAAGAAAGAUUGUCCUAAGAUUAUUAAAAUCAGGUAUAGGAAAUCUUUAAGCUUCCUAAUUAGUUCAGAUUUCUAUUGAUUCAUACAAUAAUGAAUUCUGAGAUAACUAAUCUUAUUUGUAAUUCAUUUAUUUGGUUUUCAGGAAACCAAGAGAUUAAGUGAAGAAAGCUUCAAAUAGCAGUUGAGGACAUGCUAGUUUAUAUCAAUUGAAAGACUAGAUCAAUUUUACAAGACUUUAGUUUUGAUAUUUGUCUUUAUUUUUCCAAAUAUUAGAGGAAUUUAAUUUCGGUGGCUUGUUUUAAUAAACAGGAGUACAUUGUUAUUUUUGGAUCCUCUGUUUAUUACUUAUUUUGGUUAUUUAUAAAGACAAUUUAUAUCAUAGAAGUACAUUGAUCUAUUCAAAGAAGAUAUAAUGAUAAAAAGUAUAUGCAUUUAUCUAAGAAAAGAAAUGUUUCUUCUAACCAAAAAUCACCUCUGAUAUUUAUGCUUAAGUCGUAUAAAUUAUAAUAAGAUUUUAAGAAAAUGAUUAAUGAUAGACUUGUUGGCCUAUUAAGAUUGAUCAUUGUAACUCUAUGAAUCUUAUUUAGAAAAGUAAUAUGACAAAGAUGCUCUUUUUGAGCUAAAAGCAUAACAUUGUAUUUGAUGAUUUAGCGCAUACAAAUGUAUACAGACUAAUCAGUUUACAUGUUAUAAGAGGUUAUGAGUAUUCUAUCAAUCUUGUUGAUGAAUAUUCAUUUUAUUUAUGUUUGUCUAAAUGCGUCAUGAUUCCAUUGCUUUUGAAAUUCAAAAGAGUACGUGGAUAAGAUAGAAGCAAUUAGACAGGAACAUAAAAGAACUUCGAUAUGAUCGAAACAAAGAAUAUCUCUAUGGAGAAUUCAAGCACUAUUUGGUUGUCAAUGAACACUAUGAUACAAUAGUGUAAUUAAAUGGAGAAACAAGAUUCUUUUGGAUAAGACAAGAUAUAUACUAAGUGGUUUAUCAUUUACCUUUUUGAUUCCAGAUACUAGUAUUUAAAACUACAAAGUUUAUUGAACUUAGUUUCAUCUAUCUCGGUGUCUACUACUCCAAGAAAUUAUGAAAAAGUCACAAACAUGGUUUGAGACACAUUCGUAUUUGGAGUUUACUAGUAUUUCUACUAGAAUAAAAGAUAGAGAAGAUGGAUUCGUGUUUAGAAGCUUGCAUGUUUUAGGUAUCUUAAAAGAAUAAGAGAAAGUCUGAAUUAUAGUUCUCAAGAUAGGAAUGUAUUUAUAGAAUUAUUUUUUACUUUCUUUGAGGAAGACUAUAUAAUGACUUAUAACCUAAGAGUAAGGUAAAACUAGAGAAAUAAAAGAGAUCAGGUUGAUGCUCAGCUUUCAACAUCUGUUAUAGAACAGGAAGAACAGCAACAACCAGCUGAUCAGCACAAGAUUAUCCUUGAACAACUAUCAUUUUUAGAACCUCGUCGUAGUGGGAGGGUAACUAGGUUACCUGCGAGAUACAUGUUUUUGGGAGAAACCUAUAUGGCUAUCUCAGAUGAACAUGUACAAGAUCCCACUAGUUACAACGAAGCUUUAAUAGAUAAAGAUAUUGAAUUUUGGAAAAAGGCCAUGAAUCAAGAAAUGGAAUCUAUGUAUUCCAAUAAAGUCUGGGAACUUGUAGAGGCACCAAAUGGGGUAAAACCUAUAGGGUGCAAGUAGAUCUACAAAAGAAAAAGAGGAGUAGACGGAAGGGUGGAAACAUUUAAAGCAAGAUUAGUAGCCGAAGGGUUUACUCAGAAAGAAGGAAUCGAUUAUGAGCAAACCUUUUCUUCGGUUGCUAUGCUUAAAUCCAUCAGGAUUAUACUCUCCAUUGCUGCAGUGCUAGAUUAUGAAAUUUGGCAAAUGGAUGUCAAGACUGCCUUUCUUAACGGGCAUCUUGAAGAAAACAUCUACAUGCAGCAACCAGAUGGAUUUAUACAAAAAGGCCAAGAACACAUGGUAUGUAAGUUGCAGAGAUCCAUUUAUGGAUUGAAGCAAGCAUCCCGGUCAUGGAACAUCAUAUUUGAUCAAGCGAUUAAAUCGCUUGGAUUCAUUAGAGCGUUGAUGAACCAUGUGUGUACAAGAAAAUUCAGGGAAAUUUUGUAGCCUUCCUAGUUCUUUGUGUAGAUAAUAUUCUCCUGAUUGGAAACGAUAUAGGAGUAUUGACUACAAUAAAGAUUUGGUUAGCAAAACAAUUUGAUAUGAAAGACCUGUGAGAGACAAGUUAUAUUCUUGGUAUCAAGUUACUACGAGACCAGAAGAAUAAAACUUUAGCCUUGUCUCAAGCGGUCUAUAUCGAUAAGAUAUUGGCUAGAUUUAGCAUGGAAAAUUCCAAGAUUGGUUUAUUACCAUUCAGACAUGGAAUUACAUUCUCUAAGGAUCAAUCACCUAAAACAUUGUGCAGAAGCUGUGGGAAGUCUCAUGUAUGCCAUGUUUUGCACUAGGCCAGACAUCUAUUUUGCGGUAAGGAUGGUUAGCAGAUAUCAAUUUAAUCCUGAACCUCAAUACUGGACUGCAGUCAAGCAUAUUAUAAAGUAUCUGAAAAGAACUAAAAAUUAUAUGCUUAUGUAUUUUGGUGAUGAACUCUUUCCAGUGAGUUAUACUGAUUCUGACUUUAUGUCAGAUAGGGAUUCCAGAAAAUCUACUUCUGGCUAUGUGUUUGCAUUGGGAAGUGGAGCUAUUAGUUGGAGGAGUGUGAAACAAUCUUGUAUCGCAGACUCCACAACUGAAGCUGAAAAUGUGGCUGCAUCCGAAGCUGCAAAAGAAGCUGUAUGGCUCCGCAAGUUCCUACAAGAUCUUGAGGUGGUACCUGCUGUUACUGCACCCCUUAAACUAUUUUACGAUAAUGGUGGUGCAGUAGCUCAAUCUAAGGAACCAAGGAACCACAAGAAACAAAACAUAUUGAGAGGAAGUAUAAUCUCAUAAGGGAAUAGUAUAGAAAGGUUAUAUGACAGUACCCCAAAUGGCAUUAGAUGCUAAAUGGCAGAUCUUAUUACAAUGGCCAUUAGUGGGAAACCUUUAUAACCUGCACUUAGAGCCCUAGAGCAUGUGCAAUAUGCCAAAUAUGCUUUGAGAGCUAGUGGGAGAUUGUUGGGAAAAUAUGCUCUUUAAAAGCAUAUGUGUUUAUUUUAUUGUAAUAAACAAUUUUUCUGAUUAAUAAAAUAAAAGAGGUAUUUUAUUCAAAUAUCUUAAUUGCAUUAAUAUUUGUAUUAAAGUCCAUUUAAUCAUAUUAUAUGUAUUUAUGUGAUCACCAUGUGGAUUCACAGAAGACAUAAAUACAAGUUAUCUUAUGAUUAAAUAAAUUUAGUUCGCAGUUGAUAAAUAAAGUUGGGCACUUUAUUUAGGUAUAGACUGUAAUAAAUUCAUUGAAUGAUUUGUCUUAAUCAUGUAUGAAUUUAUUGAUGUAGUACGACUACAUUGAACAGGAUCACAUAUGAGAUUUAAUUAACUUUGUAAUAACUGUCAGACAUAUUAAAUCUCAUAGGCAUUGAUUUUACUGUAAUCUUAAUCUUGAGUUAAUUAUGAUUUCAUGAUUGUAAUUGUUAUUCCAUUUGAGUUACCAAUGGGCACGACACAUCCUUGUGGUCAAUAUUACCCGGUAUCUUGGUGGGAGCAAUUAUGAGUAUUGGAGUUAUGGAUUAACAAUAUAGAAUUUGUACAACACAUCUCUUGAUGGGUUUUCGGCACUUGAUCAUAUAAUUCUCUGGCCAGAGUGUGUCAACAUAUUUAGUAUGUUGAAAAUGAUCAUUAGAGAAAACCAGUAAGGAUCAAGGAAUAAGAUGUUAUUAAAUUGAUUGGACAGUUGAGAUAUCAAUUUAAUUAACGAUGUGGUACAAAGGAUUGUGCAGUAAAGAAAUCAAUGUGGCUUGGGACAAGUUAUUAUUCGAGCAUACAAUUAUGGAAGUCAGUUCCAAUCUUUUAGUGGAGUAGAUUUGGAAUUAAAUAAUUAGGCUAGUUUAAUUAUAGGCCUAAUUAUUGUAGCCACUAUUGUAUGUUCCCAAAUGAUCCCUGGGUUAGCUCAUUUAAUUGACUGCACCACUACUGGACUAAUAAGUAACAUAACUAGCUAUUUGGGUCAAAAGCCUAAAUAUAUCAUUUAGUGGGAGGCUCCAUUUAAUUAGCUUUUGUGUAAGGGGCCUUAUGUUAUUUUACAAGGUGGGUCCCCUAUUGAAAAAGCAAAUAUCGUGGGUUUUAUUUUUUGGGAUUAUUUGGAGCCUAGGGUUUUCACUAAAGGGUGAUAUAAAAGGCUUAUUUUCUCUAUAAAAAAAAAAACCACUUUAUACAGAUCAGAGAAUAAGAUUUUUCUCUCUAUUAUUGAGAGAAAAAUUUUCUCGUGCUAGUUGCUUUGGUAGUGAUAAAGGCGCCCACACGUCAAGUGCAGAUCGAACCUGAGUCAUAACCUGGAAGAUCAUUGGUGACAGUUUGUGAUCUAACAAGCGUGGUGGUGACGGAUCGUGAUCUAAUAGGAGUAGUGGUGGUGGAUCGUGAUCUAGGAGCCUAAAUCACUUCAGCUGAAAAAGCCAACUCAGAUUUUCAAGGUACGAUUUCUAGAAUACAAAUUCUUAUAUACUAUAUGAGAGCGAUCUUCAAAAGGUUUUAUAAAAAUUUUAAAAACCUAAUUUUUCCCUAACAUACAGUUCUUUCUUCAUUCAUAUAUAUGACGCUUAAUUACCUUUGUUAUCUCUUUUGGCAUUUCUUACUUGACUAUAAACUUAGUUAUAGCAUUCUGUGAUCUAGAGAUUAAGGGCCAGAACUUGAUGGUGCCAUGUUAGACUAGUGUAUGAGGUUUGUUCAUGCAUUAAUAAUUGAUCUUGAUGUAGGCCAUUUUUUUUUUUGUAAAAGCUAAAGAAAGUUAAGUUUUAGAAGACCAUUACUUCUUUAAACCUAGUAAGCUUAUAAGUUUCUCUUCUUUUGGGUUUUGUAGAAUUAUUCAUUUUCUCCUUAAUUCCCUUUAUCAUGCCCUGCCAUAACUCAAAAAUUAUCUGCUAUGACAGAGCCUGAUGGAUAUUAUUGCUUAAAAAUAAUACUACUACUAAGAAUAAUUGAUAGAUGAUCAAUCACCAUUGCUUAAUCAAGAAGUAACACGAGAACGUCAAGAUUGAGUAAAAAGAAAAAGAUUAAACACAACAAAAUGAUAAAUUUCAAAAAGGUCACAACAGAACAAAACAUAAGAAGGAACAUUAAUUGACUUGACUCUUCUUAAAAUGAGUGUAUCUUGAAUGAAAAAAAGAAUCGUAUGUCAUCUAAACAAAAAUCCUACAGUUACUAAACAUAUAAAGAGUCCAUACAAUCACUCUUAACGCAAGUUAUUUACACUAGAAUGCUUUGACUUUCAUUGACCAGAGCUGAACUUGAUCAAAUUAGGGAGUCAGAGAGUUUCGAAUAUUGACUCAUUAUAUUGUAAAGUCCUUGAGUAUUUCUAUUGGUCUGCGUCUUUUUCUCUUAUAUAGGAAGCUUUGCUUUUGAUUGUUAAAAUUAAUUCGAUGGUUUUGCAGUGAUGACAAUUUCAUUUCCUCAAUAUCAUACUCAAAAGUUUUUGAAUAUCUCAUCCCGACAUUGGUUGCUGUUAUGAGUGUGAAUGUGCAAGGCACAACUAGGCCGUUGAUAGAAACUCAUAGAGUAAGCUUAUGUGUUUCUCUGGUGGCCAUAAUUAUCCACUACAUUGCAUUUGUUGUCGAUAACAUGCCUCAACACUACCAAGCAAAAUCUCCACACCUAUGGGGCCUCAUCGCAGUUAUUUUUUUAUCUUUUUCAGUAGUGUCGUUGGUCGCCACAUUUUUCACACAGUCGGUUGCCGAAAUCAUUUGCUAUGUUGCAUUGAGCUGCACUGCUAUUAUCAUAGUUGUGUACCAAUAUGGCACAAAGCUUAUGGAUGCUUGUCAUUGGCUUUACCACGAAAUUUUGAGGCCAUUUUUUUGCAACAUCUUGAAUUGGUUUCAAGCCCAUAAUAACAACUUCUCUUCAACGGAACAACAACAACGGCCGUUAGUGUAAUUGAAGCAGUUUAAUCUUUAUUUUAAAAUUUCAUCCAAGACUUUUUACUUACAGAUUUCACUUAUGUUUCCAGAUUUCAAUAGAUCAAAAAAUAUACUCAAAAUGUAUAGUUUUUCAUUCAAUAAUAUAUAUGUUAUUAUUGACUUUUAUUCACAUAAAAAAUAUUUUUAUUUUUAUUUUUAUUUAUAUGAUUUAUUUAAUCUAGAAUGGAUAUGAAUAAAUAUGCAUUUGAAAUGUUAGGAGUUAUUAGCUAUUAUAAAAAUAAUAGGGAGUAAGUAGAUACAAUCUUUCAAAAGAAAAUUUUAAUAUUUAUUAUUGGGAUAUUAUUAUUUUCUUACCAAAAUUUUUCUGACAUAUCAAGUCAGUACCAUGCUUUAGUAAAAACUGCAUUUUACCACCAAACGUUUAAUUUGUUAUCACUUUAAUAUCUUUCCAUUAAAAAUAAGUUAAUAUUUAACGGAAUAUGAGUUAAAAGAUGAUUUUGUCCAUGGAGCAUUAAAGACGAUUUUGGCCAUGGAAAAGAAAGAAAUAACAAAAAAGAAAACUACAAAAUUAGUCUAGCAAGUAUCCAUUAAUUAAAAAUAUCUCGCAUAAGAUUUUUUGAGAAUUAAGAUGGUAAUACAAAUGAAAAAAGAAUCUGGCAAUGACAAACUUACACACAAGUAUUAAAAAGACAGAAACAUAUUAAAUACUUCUGCUAGAUAUUAUAACAAACUAAACUCCAAUCUUUAAAGCCACACCUACGUAAAAGGCUAAAGAGAGAACGCCAUAUAAACAGAUUCAGAUCAAACAAACCUAUGAAGCGAAAAAAGAAAAGAAAAGAAAAACAAAAACAAACAGGGCCACAUUGGGUUGAUUUUAGAGAAUCAGCCAGGAAUAAUAGAGCAAAUACAAUCAAGUUGUUUGUUAGAGUCCAUCUCCAUAGGCACAUUCCCGUUAUUGUUGUUAUUAGCCUCCUUCUCUCUGUCAUCUCUCAGCCUCUUCACCGGCAAAUAACUAGCAGUAACAGACCCAAUUUCCACCAUAGCAUAUAUUAUUAUUUAUUAUUCUCUCUGCUUUCAAACCCCUAAAAACCAACAACCACUUCACUUUUAUUAAAAACUAAUUGCCGAGUCAGCUCUUGAGAGUCAAGAGCCACCACGCAAACACAAUCUUGGUCCCUCUUUGCUGUAUAUGUAGAAAAAAAAGCAAGCAGCAAGUGGUGGGAGAAUAUAUAUAAUAGUUACAAAUCUUUUAUCAAAAAAAAAAAAAAAGAGAAAAGAAAAGUUACAAAUUUGGCUUUGCAAAGAUGCGGCUCCUGUGUGUGUUUGUAUUUUGUUUGUUGAUAUUUGUGCUUGGUUGACCGUGAGAGAGAGAGGGGUCGUGAGAGAGAAAGAGAUCGGAGAUGGAGGGUUACGAUUUUUUUACUUUUUUUAAUUAUUUACCAGGCAUAUGUUGCAAGACUAAAUGUUUAUUUUACAAAUUACCAGCAUUUUGACUUUAGCCGGAAAUUUAGUAAAUGUCGUUGUGCAUUAGUAAAUUUUUAACCACAUUAAUAGAAUGGUGGUAAAAUAAUAACAAAUUAAAUAUUUGAUAGUAAAAUAUAAUUUCUAUCAAAAUAUAAUACUAACUUGAUAUGUCAAAAAAAUUUUAGUAGAAAAAUAAUAGUAUUUCUUUUUUAUUUGAUAUUUUUUAAGAUGGUUAAAUUUAUUUACUUAAAACUCUUAAAUUCUGUUAGUAAAUAUAUCCACCGCAAUCUCAUUUAAAAAAAAAAAGUUGAAUCACCAAUAAAAUUGGAAAAUGUAUCAUGACGUUAUUAAUGUCAAAAACUUUUGACUCUACUAACGUACUGAACUAAUUAUACAUCUAAAUGUAAAGAAAUUAGCAAAGAAUAAAAAAUAUUUUGAAAUUUCAGAAUACUUGAAAUUUGGAAAAAAAAAAAAAAAAAGCCAAAUUUCAGUAGCUCUCGGCCCCGCACUUUCGGGGUAAAAAAUUAAAAUAAAAUAAAACAUGUCAGCCUUCUCUCUCACUAUCAGUCGAAGAAGCAUUCUCACAAUCAUUUGAAAUUCUAUAAUCUCAGUUUCAAUGAAGACGAAGAGGCUUGGUUUAAAUCUCGGCUUUCAUCAUGCAAUUUCAGGUUUAGUUUCAGUUAAUCUGACCAAAUUUGAUGGAUUUGUUCCCUAAUUUCAUGAAUGUCAGCUCUCACAUUCAUUCGAUCGAAGAAGCUUUCACUUUCGUUUGAAAUUUUUGAUCUCGAUCGGUUUCACUGCAAAAGAAGAGGUUUGGUUUUAAUCUCGCUUUUAUUCAAGAAUUUCAUGUUUGUAUGCGUUUAAUCGCACCAAAGUUGAUGUGUUUCUCCUCUAAUUUAUCGUUAGGGAUCUAAUUUAUGUCUCUUGAUUUAAAAAUUUAGGUUUGGGCUUUAAUUAUUUGAUUAUUAAUUUGAUAUGAAUGAAUUUAGAUAAGAAGAAGUAGGAGUCAAAGAAGUAGAAGUCGAAGAAGUUAAGAAAGGAAGGAAGAGUUCUUUUGCUGAAAAUCCGUUUCCCAUUAUCUAGAUGCUUUUGGCUAUUUAUAGCCUUACAAACGUGACAGAUAAUGUAGCAAAACAACUGCAACAACAAGGCAAAAUAAUUGGAAACAAACAUGUAACCAUGCUACCACUUAUGCUUAAGUUAAGCAGCCUAUUUGUCUAACUACCAAACUAAGUUGACUAAGUCUACCGUCUUGACCAUCUCAACAAAUAUGACUAUAUCUGCUUUAUCAUCAAUGCCGCUUUUGGCUACCCACGAACAUAUUGCAUGCAUGCAUAAUUUGCACGUAUCAUUUCCCCCCCUCUUCAAGGAUCCUUGUCCACAAGGUUGAAGUGCCCCAUUUACUUAACCAGUAUAUGGUGAUGUGAAUGGUGGAGGAUCUUCAAUCAUGAACAGCUGUGGCCUUUGGCAGUGAUGACCAGGAAUGAAUUUCUCGUCACAAAAAUAACAUAGCCCUUUUUCACGUCGAGCCCGUGCUUCUUGGUUAGUCAACCGCCGGAUAGGAGGAGGAGUGUUGGCAUUGGCUGUUUGGUUUGCCUUAUGAGGGGGGCCCAAGAUCCCAGCAGAACUAUUUGAGAUUGGUGGUUGCAUCACGGAAAUAGGUGGUGGUUGAGAAAAGUGUUUGGUGCCGCGGAAGAGAGAAUUUCGCUCCUCAAUUAGUCUUGCCACACCAAUGGCGUUAGCCAAGGUACGAGGUUGUUUAAUCUUGACAUCGAGUCGUAUUUCAUCCUGAAGACCUGCGAUGAAACAACCAAUUAAAAAUGUUUCAGGUAAACCAUCGACUUGAUGAGAAAGCUUUUCAAAAACUUCCUGAUACUCAGCCACUGAGGAAAUUUGUUUUAAGCGUGUUAAAGCUUCAGAAGGAUCCUCAUAAUCCGUUGGACCAAAAUGGAGUAAUAUGGCUUUGGUAAAUUCAGUCCAAGUUUGUGGUCCUUUGAAUUUGGUUAGCCAGCGAUGCCAUUGGAGUGCUAUUCCUUCGAGAUGGAAAGAGGCCAAUUUGACUUGCUGUUCUGAAGCAAUGCUUUGGAAAUCAAAGUAUUGUUCAGCUUUGUAAAUCCAUCUGAUAGGGUCAUCACCGCUAAACUGUGGAAAAGAAAGUUUGAGCUGGGCAUGGGACCGAUCUGGUUUGGAGGUGGAAAGUGAGGUUGGCUGGUGUGAAGGGAUGUGAGUUGUGGCAAAUGGGUUGAUCUCCCUUUCCUGGGAAGUGUGUUGGACACGCAAAGAUUGAAGUUCAGUAAGAAUUGUUUGAAGGGUGGCGUGAAUUUGGUCAAAAUUAGACUCAUGUCUAGCAAGGAUUUCUUGAACCUCUUCACGAAAUUCAGCAUUGGAUUUAUUGCGUGUGGCCAUGGAUCAUUGGAUGCUCUGAUACCACUGAUAUGAAUGAAUUUAGAUAAGAAGAAGUAGGAGUCAAAGAAGUAGAAGUCAAAGAAGUUAAGAAAGGAAGGAAGAGUUCUUUUGCUGAAAAUCUGUUUCCCAUUAUCUAGAUGCUUUUGGCUAUUUAUAGCCUUACAAACGUGACAGAUAAUGUAGCAAAACAACUGCAACAACAAGGCAAAAUAAUCGGAAACAAACAUGUAACCAUGCUACCACUUAUGCUUAAGUUAAGCAGCCUAUUUGUCUAACUACCAAACUAAGUUGACUAAGUCUACCAUCUUGACCAUCUCAACAAAUAUGACUAUAUCUGCUUUAUCAUCAAUGCCGCUUUUGGCUACCCACGAACAUAUUGCAUGCAUGCAUAAUUUGCACGUAUCAUAAUUUUGUAGCGUUUGGAUACUGUUGAAGAGAGUGAAUUAAUCCACAUUAAAUAUGUAUUGGAACUAUUAGGCUGAAACCAGAUGGCUUAUGUUUACUAAGCAAUACAAGAAUUGAGUUAUAAUUAGGUCUGCUUAUGUUUUGCUGAAACUAGAUGGGUUCUGUUUACUAACUUAUCUGUAUUAUUAUCUUUUUUAAGUCAUUCUUUAAGCUAAAUUAGGGUAUUAGAAACAGAG
Molecule: long non-coding RNA, 33821 nt
Filed under: Citrus maxima (pomelo)
Lineage: Eukaryota; Viridiplantae; Streptophyta; Magnoliopsida; Sapindales; Rutaceae
Description: long non-coding RNA (CMAX_LNC001763)
Source: RNAcentral